GAUGAACGCUGGCGGCGUGCCUAAUACAUGCAAGUCGAGCGAACAGACGAGGAGCUUGCUCCUCUGACGUUAGCGGCGGACGGGUGAGUAACACGUGGAUAACCUACCUAUAAGACUGGGAUAACUUCGGGAAACCGGAGCUAAUACCGGAUAAUAUAUUGAACCGCAUGGUUCAAUAGUGAAAGACGGUUUUGCUGUCACUUAUAGAUGGAUCCGCGCCGCAUUAGCUAGUUGGUAAGGUAACGGCUUACCAAGGCAACGAUGCGUAGCCGACCUGAGAGGGUGAUCGGCCACACUGGAACUGAGACACGGUCCGGACUCCUGCGGGAGGCAGCAGUAGGGAAUAUUCCGCAAUGGGCGAAAGCCUGACGGAACAACGCCGCGUGGGUGAUGAAGGUCUUAGGAUCGUAAACCUCUGUUAUUAGGGAAGAACAAAUGUGUGAGUAAAUAUGCACGUCUUGACGGUACCUAAUCAGAAGGCCACGGCUAACUACGUG
Molecule: ribosomal RNA, 497 nt
Filed under: uncultured bacterium
Lineage: Bacteria
Description: partial 16S ribosomal RNA
Rfam family: Bacterial small subunit ribosomal RNA
Source: RNAcentral